GAAAAAUAGUUCCCGCAAAGGAUGGGAUCUAAUGGGGACCCCGGUCUUCCCGUAGGACUUGUUCUACAGCGCAAUCUCUCCAUUUCUCUCUGAGCUCUGAGAUAUUUAUACAGAGAGAGAAGAGAAGAGAUCCAGCGUAAAUAAAUAAAGACCCAAUUUUUAGUGAUAAACAGACAUCCGAGAGGACUUCUUCUUUUGGCUCUUUUGGAUUUAUAAUUCAAAGCUGCUGUGAAAUUGUUAUCAGAGAUCUGCCACCAGAGAGAAGCAAGGUAUCCAAUGCUGAAUUUUCAGUCUCUAGUCUCCGUACUGUAAAUGUUCCAUUCAUUUUUAGAUCUCUAGCUUUUUUCAUGUAGGUCCCAAAUUUCUGUUCAUACACAAAUGGCCAAUUUUCCUGGGAAAUUUGUCAUUUCUUGUGUAUUUUCCUAUCUGAUUAUCGCUUUGGAUUUUGGUUUCAUUCUCUCUCAUUUCUGAGAGAGGAAAGAUGUUUCUAAUUCUUGAAUUCCUCUCCGAAACUACCCAUUAAUUUUAUUUUUGUAAGGAUUUUUUUUUUAUAUAAUUUUCUUGGAAGUUGGUGUAGUUUCGUAUUGUCUUGGAAUUUGUAACUAUCUUGUCAUGGAAGAAGGUGGUGGUAGUGGUCGUCAUCGGAGACUCUCGCUAUUGGACCAAAUGUCAGCAAUUGAGAACCGCAGAGAGCUUGCCGGCUUGACUCUGGAUGACGUGUUGGCCUCUGACAAACGGCCAACGGUGGCGGUUUCUCAUACGCCUCCUCAGGCGAACAGAACUCUUUUGGAUAUAAUCCGCGACGAUGAGCCUCAUGGUUCCUUGUUUGGUAACAAGGACAAGAAGAGCUGGAAAGCCUUCAGAGAACGCCUUCGCCUUAAGCGCGCCGGCGCCGGCGCCGGUUCUGCUUGGACCUCCUCCGUCCCGAUUCCAGCCUCCGAUAUUCCUAUCCAGAAUAGCAACUAUAGUUUUGGCAACAAUAUAAAUAAUCCCAGAUCCCGCAAUUCGAUGCGUUUCACAAUAGUCUCCUCCCCUACCUCGGGCGAGUCAAGUCACACGGAGGACUCCAACGAUCAUUCUGCCGUUUCGAGUUCCGGACCGCAAAUGAUUCGCCGGGCAUCCUCCCGGUUCAGUACACUUACACCGUCCGAUUCUACACGGUUUGAUGAAUCAUCUACGAACAUUCACGCGGUGGGAGGGCCUCCAUCACGAAGUUUCAGACCGCAAAUGUCGCGGCACAAUUCAAUUCGGCCCUCCGAGUCGUUCCUAGACAGUGAAGAAGAGCCGGUGCGUGAAGGUAGCCGCCGUCUAGGAGCGGCAUUGGCGGAGGAGAGAGCAUUGUCUGCGAGGGAGGCAGUAGCGGCGCAGGAAGCGGCAGAGGCGGAGGCAGCUGCUGGAGCAGCGGCUGAAGCUGCUGCUGCUGCUGCGGCGGCAGAGCAAGAGGAAGAGGAGGAAGCUAAUGGUCCGGCAGACCAAGGGGCAGCGGGGGCGCAGCCAGUGAGGAUGUCAUUAAUGGACUUGUUGGAGGAGACAGAUAGGCAGAUGGGAUUGGAGGGGUCCAGAUACACAAUGGAAGAUGAAGAUGAAUGCGAGGAAGAGGAAGAAGAAGAUGAUGAAGAUGGAGCGGCUGACGGGAUAGAGCACACAUGCUGCGUGUGCAUGAUAAGGCAUAAAGGUGCGGCAUUUAUCCCCUGCGGCCACACCUUUUGCAGGUUAUGUUCAAGAGAGCUUUGGGUCCAAAGAGGUAAUUGCCCUCUAUGCAAUGGGUUCAUCUUGGAAAUUCUUGAUAUUUUUUAGUUUUUUUUUUAAAAAUUUUUUCCUUGGUGCCAUUGUGAUUAGCAAUUUGCUUCUCCAGAAGUGAACAAGUAGAUCCAAUACAAAAUGCCCAUCCUGCCUUCAUCUCUCUGUAGAUUUCUGUUUCCAAUGCACUUUUAGCUGCUAAUUAGGUCUAUGAAAUUGACUUUGAAGUGUUGACUUAUUAUCUUUGAAGAGGAAAAUAACAUAACUGCUAUUAUUGUCUUGUGGCUUGCUGGUGUCAAUUCAUCAUAGAGUGUGGGAAACUAAUCAUGGAUCUCAUGCGCUCAUAUUUGUCUUUCUGCAGUCUUCUUCCACAUUUGUAAAUUUUUAUUUAUUCUUUUGUCACCUUGUGCAUGAAGUGAACAAGCGCAUCCGAUACAACAUUCCCAUCCUUCCUUCAUCUCUCUGUACAUUUCUUUUUCCAAUGUUCUUUUAGGUGCUAAUUAGGUAUAUGAAAUUGACUUUGAAAUAUUGCCCUGUUAUCUUUGAAGGGGAAAAAAAAAAAUUGCUGUUGUUGUCUAGUGUCUUGCUUGUGUCAAUUCAUCAUAGAGUGUAGGAAACCCAAUCAUGGAUCUUCAUAUGUACUCAUGU
This 2388-nucleotide unclassified non-coding RNA is filed under the name Hevea brasiliensis (rubber tree). Lineage: Eukaryota; Viridiplantae; Streptophyta; Magnoliopsida; Malpighiales; Euphorbiaceae. The record is from RNAcentral.